Molecule: ribosomal RNA, 446 nt
Filed under: uncultured bacterium
Lineage: Bacteria
Description: partial 16S ribosomal RNA
Rfam family: Bacterial small subunit ribosomal RNA
Source: RNAcentral
CCUACGGGUGGCUGCAGUCGAGAAUCAUUCACAAUGGGGGAAACCCUGAUGGUGCGACGCCGCGUGGGGGAAUGAAGGUCUUCGGAUUGUAAACUCCUGUCACGUGGGAGCAAAUUAUAAAGAUAGUACCACAAGAGGAAGAGACGGCUAACGCUGUGCCAGCAGCCGCGGUAAUACAGAGGGCUCAAGCGUUGUUCGGAAUCACUGGGCGUAAAGCGUGCGUAGGCUGUUUCGUAAGUCGUGUGUGAAAGGCGCGGGCUCAACCCGCGGACGGCACAUGAUACUGCGGGACUAGAGUAAAGGAGGGGGAACCGGAAUUCUCGGUGUAGCAGUGAAAUGCGUAGAUAUCGGGAGGAACACUAGUGGCGAAGGCGGGUUGCUGGACAUUAACUGACGCUGAGGCACGAAGGCCAGGGGAGCGAAAGGGAUUAGAUACCCGAGUAGUC